CAACGCGUGAGGAACCUGCCUCAAAGAGGGGGACAACAGUUGGAAACGACUGCUAAUACCGCAUAAGCCCACGGCUCGGCAUCGAGCAGAGGGAAAAGGAGCAAUCCGCUUUGAGAUGGCCUCGCGUCCGAUUAGCUAGUUGGUGAGGUAACGGCCCACCAAGGCGACGAUCGGUAGCCGGACUGAGAGGUUGAACGGCCACAUUGGGACUGAGACACGGCCCAG
RNAcentral lists this ribosomal RNA (225 nucleotides) under uncultured bacterium. RNAcentral describes it as "partial 16S ribosomal RNA". It matches the Rfam family "Bacterial small subunit ribosomal RNA", at positions 111 to 334 of the family's 1533-position model. The record is from RNAcentral.